CGUAGAACCUUACCUGGGUUUGACAUGGAUCGGGAGUGCUCAGAGAUGGGUGUGCCUCUUUUGGGGUCGGUUCACAGGUGGUGCAUGGCUGUCGUCAGCUCGUGUCGUGAGAUGUUGGGUUAAGUCCCGCAACGAGCGCAACCCUUGUUCACUGUUGCCAGCACGUUAUGGUGGGGACUCAGUGGAGACCGCCGGGGUCAACUCGGAGGAAGGUGGGGAUGACGUCAAGUCAUCAUGCCCCUUAUGUCCAGGGCUUCACGCAUGCUACAAUGGCUGGUACAGAGAGUGGCGAGCCUGUGAGGGUGAGCGAAUCUCGGAAAGCCGGUCUCAGUUCGGAUUGGGGUCUGCAACUCGACCUCAUGAAGUCGGAGUCGCUAGUAAUCGCAGAUCAGCAACGCUGCGGUGAAUACGUUCCCGGGCCUUGUACACACCGCCCGUCACGUCAUGAAAGUUGGUAACACCCGAAGCCCAUGGCCUAACCGGCUUUGCCGGGGGGAGUGGUCGAAG
Molecule: ribosomal RNA, 507 nt
Filed under: Actinomadura lepetitiana
Lineage: Bacteria; Bacillati; Actinomycetota; Actinomycetes; Streptosporangiales; Thermomonosporaceae
Description: bacterial SSU rRNA
Rfam family: Bacterial small subunit ribosomal RNA
Source: RNAcentral